AACAAUUAUACAAUAUGAAGAAAUAGGCAGAAGAUGGCAGUACAGUAGCGACCAAGAGGAGAAGUAAAUAAAAGAUGAAUGCCUUGAGCUGUAAGCAAAAAUGGCGUGUACAUCCGGGACUGCGAUUUACACCCUCGCUCUCCCUCCAAGACGAUGAUUAAGAAAAAGAAACUUGAAAAAUUUGAGCGUCGGAGGAGACGACAAACGGUGAAUAUUUUAAAAAAGACAGUAAAACGACAACGCACCUGC
This 249-nucleotide long non-coding RNA is filed under the name Ricinus communis (castor bean). Its description in RNAcentral is "long non-coding RNA (RCOM_LNC002353)". The record is from RNAcentral. Lineage: Eukaryota; Viridiplantae; Streptophyta; Magnoliopsida; Malpighiales; Euphorbiaceae.